AAAAUGAUAUGCAAAUAUUAAAAUGACAAGCAUGUAGAUAGUGUUGAUUCAUGGAAAUGUGUUUGUUAAUUAUUUGAACUAAAAAAGAAUAUCAGAAAUUAUAAAAACAUUACAUUAGUUAAAACUAGUAAAAGUGGUUUAUAUAUAUAAUAUGAGACGUAACUUUGAAAUUGGAGAAAUAAAAUAUAAUGUUCAUAAGAUUUUUUAAAGUCAAUUGAGUUCAUAAAAAUGCAUUUUUACAAGCUAGCUCUAGGGAAACAAGGCUAUUUCUUUUAAUAUAUCCACAGAGUUUUUUUUUAACCUGGAAAAAAGCAUUACUUAAAUCUUUCGGUGUUGCUCUGGAGGCCAACUAUUCAAUUAAGAAACAAAUAUAGAGCAAAUCGGAAAACUUUAAACAUGUUGCAAAAUGCUAUGUUCCCAAUAACCCAGCUUAAAUCUGUAUUUUCCUUUGCUUCACAUUUGGAAGAAAUCUGAACUAUUGAUUUGAUUAAAUAAUUAAAGUUGAGUAUUUUUUUUCCUCCCCAAUGUAGCUAGGACUAAAAGCCCUGUUUGUAUCUUGAAACUCUAUUUUUGAAUAUGAGACAAAUGGCAGAAUUUUCCUUUUGCAAGGACAGUUUUGAUACCAUGAUAACUACUUAAGAGUUCUAAUGAGUCCUCCAAAAUCAUCCCUGGUGAUCAUCUCCACAUAUGAAGUACCACGUGUGAAAGGCCUAAUAGAAAGUGGCUAUUUCUUCAGAGACAGCCAAGAAAGAAUGGGGAAAUAUUGUCAUCCUAACCGUUGUCCUUACCGAGAAUAUUUACUCAGGGUAAGUAAGAAGUUUUAGAAAAUCUCCUGCUCAAAAAUAUCCCAAGAAGUCCUUUGAUUCAAAGAUCUGCUAGGAUUAAGCAGGCUGGUUCAUAAAACCUUCUCUGACUCAAGUAAAUCUCUGUAUUUGGAGUUCCUAAAUCAUGUGAUCUGUAAAAAUUUUGGUGACAUGUUGGCUUGAUUCUUUUAAAUUGGAAAUAUAUACCUAUAUAAAAGCCCCAGUCAGGAGGGAGGAAAACGCAGUAAAGAGUAAGGAUAAAGGGAAGAAUACAAAGCUCAGACCAUCUGAAAAAUGUGUUACCACCUGUCUUGUUGUUUUUUUUUUUUUCCUAGUAGUUGGGGAAGCCAUGCGGGAGCUACUGUGCUGGACUUAAUUUUACCUACUGAUGGUUAUUGAAGGUACAGGGAAUUUGAGAGAAUAGGAAUUACCAUGGCAUCUGAAAAUUCGUUGACAUGAUUAGACAAGGAAAGAUUUCCAAAAAUCAAAGGAAACAACCACACAUAUAACUUAUAUACAAAGCUGAAAAGGCAAUAUGGAUAGAAGGGGAUGGGAGACUCUGGAAGUGAAUUUCCAAUUUCAUGAUUGUGAAUAAUUCUUUCCGGGAGCGGAAGGGGGAGGGGGCAUUUUAAAAAGCUAAUGUGGAUAUCCUUAAAUUUUGUCUGAUGAGUGGAAUUUAAAAAUUGUAUUCAUUAAGAUAUUUUAAUUUCAAAAACUCAAAAUUUUAGACAAGUUGCAAGUUCAGUGCAAAGAAUAUUUUUUGUGAAUAUUUUGAGUAAAUUGCCAAUAUGAUGCCCCAUCAUCCCUGAACACUUUGUUUCCUAAAAACAAAGAUAUUAUUCUACAUAUAGACUAUAAAAACACCCAAAUGAUGAAAUUCACACUAACACAGUACUAUCAUUUAAUUCUUAGAUCCCACUCAUAUUUCACCAAUUGUCCCAAGGAUAUCUCUAUAGCAGAAGUAUCCAGUUCAGAGUCAUGCAAUUAAUUUAAUUGUCAUGUGUCUUUAGUCUGAUGAGUUCACAUUUAAAAAGAUAUCUUCUAAAAGGUAAAAAUAAGAAUACAAGAACAAGGUCACAUUCAUAAGAGUGAUCUGUCCCAAAAGGAUAGUGUUAAUGAAGAUAAAAUCUAGAAAUGUAAGUUAUCUUCUAUGCAACAUGAAUGAGGAAGGAGUGCAGGAAGGUGACAGGAUGAUAACCCACGAUGUGGAGAACAGAGAGCUACAUAGCUUUGCAAAUUGGAAAGGGUAAAAUAGACUCCAUUGGCAAGAGCAACUGCAACCUUAGCUAUAAGAGAAGAUAAUUCCAGAGUACUUUCUGAUUUUAGAAACUGUCAGAUCCUGCAUAUUGGAUGUAUACCAUCACUGUUUGUGUAUUUUGAAUAACUAUAAAAAACAGCAGAGGCC
Long non-coding RNA from Macaca mulatta (Rhesus monkey), 2208 nucleotides. Lineage: Eukaryota; Metazoa; Chordata; Mammalia; Primates; Cercopithecidae. The record is from Ensembl.